CAGCAGCCGCGGUAAUACAGAGGGUGCGAGCGUUAAUCGGAUUUACUGGGCGUAAAGCGUGCGUAGGCGGCUUCUUAAGUCGGAUGUGAAAUCCCUGAGCUUAACUUAGGAAUUGCAUUCGAUACUGGGAAGCUAGAGUAUGGGAGAGGAUGGUAGAAUUCCAGGUGUAGCGGUGAAAUGCGUAGAGAUCUGGAGGAAUACCGAUGGCGAAGGCAGACAUCUGGCCUAAUACUGACGCUGAGGUACGAAAGCAUGGGGAGCAAACAGGAUUAGAUACCCGGGUAGUCCCUGUCUCUUAUAU
This 301-nucleotide ribosomal RNA is filed under the name uncultured bacterium. RNAcentral describes it as "partial 16S ribosomal RNA". It matches the Rfam family "Bacterial small subunit ribosomal RNA", at positions 509 to 809 of the family's 1533-position model. The record is from RNAcentral.